CCCCUCCCCAUCUCUGCUGUUCAUUUCCUUCUCUUCUACACCCUCUUGAUAUAUCCCAAUCCACAGCUUUCACAUCCUUUACUCUCUCCGCGUUGAAUCUACUUGACAUCACAGGGUAGCCUAACAGAGAUCCUCAUCGGUCACCUGAAAAUCGAACUUCCGCUAGGGACGAUCCGGACUUCCGACUAUCUCCUAGUAUCUCUGUCGCUGUUUUCAGCUCGCCCUAAACACUUUCUAAUUCCAGCUCUUAUCGAGCAACUUUACUACGGUUCGCACUUCGAAACUUCGCACCUGCGGAAACCUGCUUGUCCCUCUGUACUUUGUUGAUAUCUCCUUGUUCUGUGGGAUCCCUCAAGCAUCGUCCAAGUCAAAACGAGCAAUCCAGCGUACCAAAGACGACUGUCCAUUCACCCAGCCUCUGGCUCCUUUCUAACACACUCUCUAUCUGACGCCCCUAGAGCUUCUGGUUUGUAUCUGAAAAUCAAGGGAUUUAAUGUGAUACUGCGAAUAACUCCCAUUUUUUCCAGCUUCAGCUUCGAAACUCUCUGCAAGCCACUGAGUGUCGUUGGAGAUCAAUCCAAGAAUGGAUCCAGCUAACUCUUCCGGUUAUUACCACCCAAUGGUUGAGCCGGUGCCUCUGGAGGGCUUCUUCAACAAUAUAAUGGA
This 666-nucleotide small RNA is filed under the name Histoplasma ohiense. RNAcentral's name for it is "hypothetical lncRNA". Lineage: Eukaryota; Fungi; Ascomycota; Eurotiomycetes; Onygenales; Ajellomycetaceae. The record is from RNAcentral.